Non-coding RNA from Podarcis lilfordi (Lilford's wall lizard), 74 nucleotides. NCBI's taxonomy places the organism in Eukaryota, Metazoa, Chordata, Lepidosauria, Squamata, Lacertidae. The record is from the annotation of a GenBank genome assembly.
AUUAUAUGUGUGUGUGUGUGUGUGUGUGUGUGUGUGUGUGUACACACACACACACACACACAGAGUUUUAAUUU